GAGCGUUAUCCGGAUUUAUUGGGUUUAAAGGGUGCGUAGGCGGCCUUUUAAGUCAGCGGUGAAAGUCUGUGGCUCAACCAUAGAAUUGCCGUUGAAACUGGGGGGCUUGAGUAUGUUUGAGGCAGGCGGAAUGCGUGGUGUAGCGGUGAAAUGCUUAGAUAUCACGCAGAACCCCGAUUGCGAAGGCAGCCUGCCAAGCCAUGACUGACGCUGAUGCACGAAAGCGUGGGGAUCAAACAGGAUUAGAUACCCUGGUAGUCCACGCAGUAAACGAUGAUCACUAGCUGUUUGCGAUACAGUGUAAGCGGCACAGCGAAAGCGUUAAGUGAUCCACCUGGGGAGUACGCCGGCAACGGUGAAACUCAAAGGAAUUGACGGGGGCCCGCACAAGCGGAGGAACAUGUGGUUUAAUUCGAUGAUACGCGAGGAACCUUACCCGGGUUUGAACGCAUUCGGACCGAGGUGGAAACACCUUUUCUAGCAAUAGCCGUUUGCGAGGUGCUGCAUGGUUGUCGUCAGCUCGUGCCGUGAGGUGUCGGCUUAAGUGCCAUAACGAGCGCAACCCUUGCCACUAGUUACUAACAGGUAAAGCUGAGGACUCUGGUGGGACUGCCAGCGUAAGCUGCGAGGAAGGCGGGGAUGACGUCAAAUCAGCACGGCCCUUACAUCCGGGGCGACACACGUGUUACAAUGGCGUGGACAAAGGGAUGCCACCUGGCGACAGGGAGCGAAUCCCCAAACCACGUCUCAGUUCGGAUCGGAGUCUGCAACCCGACUCCGUGAAGCUGGAUUCGCUAGUAAUCGCGCAUCAGCCAUGGCGC
Molecule: ribosomal RNA, 821 nt
Filed under: human gut metagenome
Description: bacterial SSU rRNA
Rfam family: Bacterial small subunit ribosomal RNA
Source: RNAcentral